Molecule: small RNA, 317 nt
Filed under: Arabidopsis thaliana (thale cress)
Lineage: Eukaryota; Viridiplantae; Streptophyta; Magnoliopsida; Brassicales; Brassicaceae
Description: putative long intergenic non-coding RNA
Source: RNAcentral
GUUGAGUCUCAGCUGAGCUCAGUUCCCACCAGGGUUCGAUCUAUAUUGGUACCACGUUAGGCUUCUUCCGAGCAAUCAGUCUCGAGGAUGCUUCUUUCCGCCGGACGGAUGUCUCGGUGCGCUUCUACUUCCCCUUGUGGAAUGUAGCAAUCUUCCCAGUGCUAUCUGGAGUCAAGUUCCCAGUUCUAUCUGGAGAAAUAUCUCCGAGGUCCUAUCCUCGUGGAUGUCGUCCUGUCUUCCACCAUCAUUGUGGUUAAGACCCAAAUGAGGUAAUCUAAAUUACCUCUCUUUUUGUAUAAUUUCUUUUUAGGUUGUUG